RNAcentral lists this ribosomal RNA (386 nucleotides) under uncultured Caldilineaceae bacterium. RNAcentral's name for it is "bacterial SSU rRNA". It matches the Rfam family "Bacterial small subunit ribosomal RNA", at positions 980 to 1382 of the family's 1533-position model. Lineage: Bacteria; Bacillati; Chloroflexota; Caldilineae; Caldilineales; Caldilineaceae. The record is from RNAcentral.
UUUGACAUGCACGUAGUAGUGACCGAAGGGAACGAGCCUUCGGGCAGCGUGCACAGGUGCUGCAUGGCUGUCGUCAGCUCGUGCCGUGAGGUGUUGGGUUAAGUCCCGCAACGAGCGCAACCCUCGUCGCUAGUUACAUGUGUCUAGCGAGACUGCCAGGUUAACCCUGGAGGAAGGUGGGGAUGACGUCAAGUCAGCAUGGCCUUUAUGUCCAGGGCUACACACACGCUACAAUGGUCGGUACAAUGGGAUGCCAAGCCGCGAGGCGGAGCAAAUCCUCAAAGCCGGCCUCAGUUCGGAUUGGAGGCUGCAACUCGCCUCCAUGAAGUCGGAGUUGCUAGUAACCGCAGGUCAGCUAUACUGCGGUGAAUACGUUCCCGGGCCUU